This 253-nucleotide ribosomal RNA is filed under the name uncultured bacterium. Its description in RNAcentral is "partial 16S ribosomal RNA". It matches the Rfam family "Bacterial small subunit ribosomal RNA", at positions 524 to 776 of the family's 1533-position model. The record is from RNAcentral.
UACGUAGGGAGCAAGCGUUGUCCGGAUUUAUUGGGCGUAAAGAGCUCGUAGGCGGUUCCUUAAGUCAGGUGUGAAAAAUCUGGGCUCAACCCAGUGGAGCACCUGAUACUGCGGUGACUCGAGUCCGGUAGGGGAGUGUGGAAUUCCUGGUGUAGCGGUGAAAUGCGCAGAUAUCAGGAGGAACACCGACGGCGAAGGCAGCACUCUGGGCCGGUACUGACGCUGAGGAGCGAAAGCAUGGGGAGCGAACAGG